Molecule: ribosomal RNA, 301 nt
Filed under: uncultured bacterium
Lineage: Bacteria
Description: partial 16S ribosomal RNA
Rfam family: Bacterial small subunit ribosomal RNA
Source: RNAcentral
CAGUCGCCGCGGUAAUACGAAGGGUGCAAGCGUUACUCGGAAUUACUGGGCGUAAAGCGUGUGUAGGUGGUUGUUUAAGUCUGUCGUGAAAGCCCUGGGCUCAACCUGGGAAUUGCGAUGGAUACUGGGCGACUAGAGUGCGGUAGAGGAUAGUGGAAUUUCCGGUGUAGCAGUGAAAUGCGUAGAGAUCGGAAGGAACAUCUGUGGCGAAGGCGACUAUCUGGGCCAACACUGACACUGAGACGCGAAAGCGUGGGGAGCAAACAGGAUUAGAUACCCCUGUAGUCCCUGUCUCUUAUAC